CUCUGUUACAAGCCCUGUAAACGGGGUCUAAUACCGCAUACCACUCCUGCCUGCAUGGGGGGGGGUUGAAAGCUCCGGCGGUGAUGGAUGAGCCCGUGACCUAUCGUCUUGUUGGUGGGGUAAUGGCCUAACAAGGCGACAACGGGAAGCCGGCCUGAUGGGGCGACCGGACGAACUGGGACUGAGACACUGACCAAACUCCUACAGUAGGAAGCAAUGGGGAAUAUUGGACAAUGGGCCAAAGCCUGAUGCAGCGACGCCGCGUGAGGGAUGACGGCAUUAAGGUUGUAAACCUCUUUAGCCCUUUUGUAAGCGAAAGUGACGGUUCCUGUAAAACAAGCGCCGGCUAACUACGUGCCAGCAAUCGCGGUAAUACAUAUGGCGCAAGCGUUGUCCGGAAUUAUUGGGGGUAAAGAGCUCGCUCGCGGUUUGUCACGUCGGAUGUGAAAGCCCUGGCUUAACCUCCUGUCUGCAUUCCAUACGGGCUAGCUUGGUGUUGCAGGGGAUACUGGAAUUCCUGGUGUGUGGGUGAAAUGCGCAGAAUUCAUGAUGAACACCGGUGAUGAAUGCAGAUCUCUGGAACAUUACUGACGCUGAGGAGCUACAAGCGUGCAACACCGAACAGUGAUUACAUACCCCUGGUAGUCCGCACACGUAAACUUUGUACAACUAGGUGUCGGCGACAUUCCACAGUCGUCCUGCUGUUGCUUACAAUUAACUUCCCCGCCUGGGAGAGUACGGCCUAAGUUCUACACUUAAG
This 760-nucleotide ribosomal RNA is filed under the name Streptomyces sp. RNAcentral describes it as "bacterial SSU rRNA". It matches the Rfam family "Bacterial small subunit ribosomal RNA", at positions 136 to 905 of the family's 1533-position model. The record is from RNAcentral. Lineage: Bacteria; Bacillati; Actinomycetota; Actinomycetes; Kitasatosporales; Streptomycetaceae.